RNAcentral lists this unclassified non-coding RNA (504 nucleotides) under Hevea brasiliensis (rubber tree). Lineage: Eukaryota; Viridiplantae; Streptophyta; Magnoliopsida; Malpighiales; Euphorbiaceae. The record is from RNAcentral.
CUCAGAAAAUUCAAGCCUUCCAGGUACUUUUAGCUUAAUCACUUAUUUUAAGAGACUGCACUUAAUGGGUUUUGUUUCCGUUUUCUAUUAUUAGUUGGACCUCUAAGCAUGGCCUCUUGCAGAAUGAAUUCACGUUUCGUCUUUAAGCAACCUUAGCAAAAGCUUUGUUCACUUCAAUUAGUUUGGGACUAAGAUUUAGCUGAGUUGACUUUGUAGCAGGGCUGUUGUUUAUAGCCUUGCUAUGAACUUAUUCUAACUAUAUGUACGUAUUCUAACCCAUGGCAUCUACAUUUCCUCUUUAAGCAACCUUAGCGAAAGCUUUGUUCACUUCAACUAAUUUGGGACUGGGAUUUAGCUGAGUUGACUUUGUAGCAGGGCUGUUGUUUAUAGCCUUGCUAUGAACUUAUUCUAACUAUAUGUACGUAUUCUAACCCAUGGCAUCUACAUUUCCUCUUUAAGCAACCUUAGCGAAAGCUUUGUUCACUUCAACUAAUUUGGGACUGG